UGGCUCAGAUGGUAAAGCAUCUGUCUGCAACACAGGAGACCCGGGGUCGAUCCCUGG
RNAcentral lists this transfer RNA (57 nucleotides) under Ovis aries (sheep). The record is from Rfam by way of RNAcentral. Lineage: Eukaryota; Metazoa; Chordata; Mammalia; Artiodactyla; Bovidae.